Molecule: ribosomal RNA, 468 nt
Filed under: uncultured bacterium
Lineage: Bacteria
Description: partial 16S ribosomal RNA
Rfam family: Bacterial small subunit ribosomal RNA
Source: RNAcentral
GACGAACGCUGGCGGCGUGCUUAACACAUGCAAGUCGAACGGAAAGGCCCUGCUUUUGUGGGGUGCUCGAGUGGCGAACGGGUGAGUAACACGUGAGUAACCUGCCCUUGACUUUGGGAUAACUUCAGGAAACUGGGGCUAAUACCGGAUAGGAGCUCCUGCUGCAUGGUGGGGGUUGGAAAGUUUCGGCGGUUGGGGAUGGGCUCGCGGCUUAUCAGCUUGUUGGUGGGGUAGUGGCUUACCAAGGCUUUGACGGGUAGCCGGCCUGAGAGGGUGACCGGCCACAUUGGGACUGAGAUACGGCCCAGACUCCUACGGGAGGCAGCAGUGGAGAAUAUUGCACAAUGGGCGGAAGCCUGAUGCAGCAACGCCGCGUGCGGGAUGACGGCCUUCGGGUUGUAAACCGCUUUCGCCUGUGACGAAGCGUGAGUGACGGUAAUGGGUAAAGAAGCACCGGCUAACUACGUG